Molecule: ribosomal RNA, 676 nt
Filed under: uncultured bacterium
Lineage: Bacteria
Description: bacterial SSU rRNA
Rfam family: Bacterial small subunit ribosomal RNA
Source: RNAcentral
CUUGCUCUCUGGGUGACGAGCGGCGGACGGGUGAGUAAUGUCUGGGAAACUGCCUGAUGGAGGGGGAUAACUACUGGAAACGGUAGCUAAUACCGCAUAACGUCUUCGGACCAAAGUGGGGGACCUUCGGGCCUCACGCCAUCAGAUGUGCCCAGAUGGGAUUAGCUAGUAGGUGGGGUAAUGGCUCACCUAGGCGACGAUCCCUAGCUGGUCUGAGAGGAUGACCAGCCACACUGGAACUGAGACACGGUCCAGACUCCUACGGGAGGCAGCAGUGGGGAAUAUUGCACAAUGGGCGCAAGCCUGAUGCAGCCAUGCCGCGUGUGUGAAGAAGGCCUUCGGGUUGUAAAGCACUUUCAGCGAGGAGGAAGGGUGGUGUGUUAAUAGCGCAUCACAUUGACGUUACUCGCAGAAGAAGCACCGGCUAACUCCGUGCCAGCAGCCGCGGUAAUACGGAGGGUGCAAGCGUUAAUCGGAAUUACUGGGCGUAAAGCGCACGCAGGCGGUUUGUUAAGUCAGAUGUGAAAUCCCCGCGCUUAACGUGGGAACUGCAUUUGAAACUGGCAAGCUAGAGUCUUGUAGAGGGGGGUAGAAUUCCAGGUGUAGCGGUGAAAUGCGUAGAGAUCUGGAGGAAUACCGGUGGCGAAGGCGGCCCCCUGGACAAAGACUGACGCUC